This 398-nucleotide long non-coding RNA is filed under the name Monodelphis domestica (gray short-tailed opossum). RNAcentral describes it as "lncRNA (ENSMODG00000031122.2)". Lineage: Eukaryota; Metazoa; Chordata; Mammalia; Didelphimorphia; Didelphidae. The record is from RNAcentral.
GCUUUGGAUCUCUUUAGGAGUCCGGAAUGCAACAUUAUUAGGCUGUUCUAAAUUUACUUCUGCAUUCUCAGAAUUAUUUCUAAGUUCUGUUGAAGAAGCUGUUUUAUCUGCUUUCUUCUGGAAAGUUAGGAUGAUUAUAAUCCUGCAUUAGGUUUUCAUGGAGGUGGAGGUUGAAAUUCAGGAGGAGUUGGGGGAAGGGAGGACAAAGAGAAUCCUCCUAAGGUUUAAAGGAUACUACAUAUUGCUAGUUCUCUUCCUAUUUUCUGACCACUAUAAGUUCUCCUUUGGAGGAGUGUUUUUCAUUCUAAUUGUGAGUAUCUCCAUUAGACCAAGAUCUUUGAGGUUAGAGAGUCUUUUUUGUCUCUUUUGUAUAUCCUCAGUAAUUAACACAGUCUCUG